CGUAGCGGCGUCGGUGGCUAGCGUUUCUCAGCGUGAGGCAGGACUUGUUCCUCAGUCUUACAGCGACUGACAAGUGGCACCCGAACAGGGACCUGAGUACGUGGGCUGUUGAGAGGGACCCCGGAAAUAUUUCGCGCACAGACAUAUACAGGGGACUCUAAGGAUCCUCGUUGGAUACCUGAGCGCCUCGUGAGAUUCUAUGGAUCCGGACCAGAUGGUGAAUUCCCUCCCCUGCAAUAUGGAUCCGGACCGGAUGGUGAACUCUCUCCCCCGCCAUAUGAAGAGAAUGCGGCUCAACGACACUCCCAAUCCUCCCGAGAAACCAGCUCUCCAAGCUCGUC
This is a long non-coding RNA of Eubalaena glacialis (North Atlantic right whale), 341 nucleotides long. RefSeq lists it as uncharacterized. The record is from RefSeq and is a predicted model, not a curated record. NCBI's taxonomy places the organism in Eukaryota, Metazoa, Chordata, Mammalia, Artiodactyla, Balaenidae. The transcript is spliced from 3 exons.